AUGUUCCUAGGGACGCAGCAGUGGGGAAUAUUGCACAAUGGGGGAAACCCUGAUGCAGCGACGCCGCGUGAGUGAAGAAGUAAUUCGUUACGUAAAGCUCUAUCAGCAGGGAAGAAAUACUGACCUUACGGUCAGCAGACGGUACCUGAGUAAGAAGCCCCGGCUAACUACGUGCCAGCAGCCGCGGUAAUACGUAGGGGGCAAGCGUUAUCCGGAUUUACUGGGUGUAAAGGGAGCGUAGACGGUGCGCCAAGUCUGGAGUGAAAUGCCGCAGCUUAACGGCGGAACUGCUUUGGAAACUGGCG
This 305-nucleotide ribosomal RNA is filed under the name uncultured bacterium. Its description in RNAcentral is "bacterial SSU rRNA". It matches the Rfam family "Bacterial small subunit ribosomal RNA", at positions 334 to 638 of the family's 1533-position model. The record is from RNAcentral.